AGGAAGAAAAAACCCAGAAAAACAGAGGAAAAACCAAGAAAACGCAAGCCACACACAGAGCAAAAACCCAGACCCAAAUUCGAAAGGAGAAGCCAGCACCGUCCUCUGUUCUUCAUCACAAGGACUGAUCAGCAGACAGAGAAGGAGAAAAAGGCAGAGGAGAGUCACAGAUCAGCCCUGCCAUUGUCUUCGUCCCUGCAGAAAAAGAACAACAAAGAACCAAAGACUAUUGACAACCGGCAUCACCAUUGUCUACUUUCCUUCAUCUCAAAACCAGAGGAGACAGAACGCAAUCAAAGAAAGAAGCAGAAGGAAAGAACACAAGCA
Molecule: long non-coding RNA, 327 nt
Filed under: Populus trichocarpa (black cottonwood)
Lineage: Eukaryota; Viridiplantae; Streptophyta; Magnoliopsida; Malpighiales; Salicaceae
Description: long non-coding RNA (PTRI_LNC001513)
Source: RNAcentral